CAUCCCAGUUCGGAUCGCAGGCUGCAACCCGCCUGCGUGAAGUUGGAAUCGCUAGUAAUCGCGGAUCAGCAUGCCGCGGUGAAUACGUUCCCGGGCCUUGUACACACCGCCCGUCACACCAUGAGAGUCGGGAACACCCGAAGUCCGUAGCCUAACCGCAAGGGGGCGCGGCCGAAGGUGGGUUCGAUAAUUGGGGUGAAGUCGUAACAAGGUAAC
Molecule: ribosomal RNA, 216 nt
Filed under: uncultured bacterium
Lineage: Bacteria
Description: partial 16S ribosomal RNA
Rfam family: Bacterial small subunit ribosomal RNA
Source: RNAcentral